GAGUUUGAUCAUGGUUCAGGAUGAACGCUAGCUACAGGCUUAACACAUGCAAGUCGAGGGGCAGCAUUGGAGUAGCAAUACUUCAGAUGGCGACCGGCGCACGGGUGAGUAACACGUAUCCAACCUGCCGCUUACUCGGGGAUAGCCUUUCGAAAGAAAGAUUAAUACCCGAUGGUAUAAAGAGUUCGCAUGUUCUCUUUAUUAAAGAAUUUCGGUAAGCGAUGGGGAUGCGUUCCAUUAGAUUGUUGGCGGGGUAACGGCCCACCAAGUCUACGAUGGAUAGGGGUUCUGAGAGGAAGGUCCCCCACAUUGGAACUGAGACACGGUCCAAACUCCUACGGGAGGCAGCAGUGAGGAAUAUUGGUCAAUGGACGCGAGUCUGAACCAGCCAAGUAGCGUGAAGGAUGACUGCCCUAUGGGUUGUAAACUUCUUUUAUAAGGGAAUAAAGUGAGGGACGUGUCCCUUUUUGUAUGUCCCUUAUGAAUAAGGAUCGGCUAACUCCGUGCCAGCAGCCGCGGUAAUAC
This 525-nucleotide ribosomal RNA is filed under the name uncultured Bacteroides sp. Its description in RNAcentral is "bacterial SSU rRNA". It matches the Rfam family "Bacterial small subunit ribosomal RNA", at positions 9 to 526 of the family's 1533-position model. The record is from RNAcentral. Lineage: Bacteria; Pseudomonadati; Bacteroidota; Bacteroidia; Bacteroidales; Bacteroidaceae.